RNAcentral lists this unclassified non-coding RNA (184 nucleotides) under soil metagenome. Its description in RNAcentral is "partial internal transcribed spacer 1". The record is from RNAcentral.
UUGAUGAACUUAGAGUCGGUUGUCGCUGGCUGUUCUUGCAGCAUGUGCACGCCUUCUCUUUUCAUCCACACACACCCCUGUGCACUUGUGAGACUGGAGACCGUAAAAAGUCUUCAGUCUGCUAAAUUCAUAUACAAACUCAUUUAAUUGAACUGAAUGUACUUGAUGUAACGCAUCAUUAAAC